GAAUCUUCCACAAUGGACGAAAGUCUGAUGGAGCAAUGCCGCGUGAGUGAAGAAGGGUUUCGGAUCGUAAAACUCUGUUGUGAGGGAAGAACAAGUACGAGCGUAACUGCUCGUACCUUGACGGUACCUCAUUAGAAAGCACAGGCUAAUUACGUGCCAGAAGCAGCGGUAAUACGUAGUUGGAGAGCGUUGUCCGGAAUUAUUGGGCGUAAAGCGCUCGCAGGCGGUCCUUUAAGUCUGAUGUGAAAUCCCACGGCUCAACCGUGGAAGGUCAUUGGAAACUGGGGGACUUGAGUACAGAAGAGGAAAGCGGAAUUCCAAGUGUAGCGGUGAAAUGCGUAGAGAUUUGGAGGAACACCAGUGGCGAAGGCGGCUUUCUGGUCUGUAACUGACGCUGAGGCGCGAAAGCGUGGGGAGCAAACA
RNAcentral lists this ribosomal RNA (423 nucleotides) under uncultured bacterium. RNAcentral describes it as "partial 16S ribosomal RNA". It matches the Rfam family "Bacterial small subunit ribosomal RNA", at positions 359 to 774 of the family's 1533-position model. The record is from RNAcentral.